Non-coding RNA from Zootermopsis nevadensis, 241 nucleotides. Lineage: Eukaryota; Metazoa; Arthropoda; Insecta; Blattodea; Termopsidae. The record is from RefSeq and is a predicted model, not a curated record.
CUUUGUACCUUCACGUGCGAGAAUAUUGUGCUUGCACAUUAGGUCCACUAGAAUACUUCACGUAUUGUCACAAUUGAAUGUGACUAAACUAACGAGGCAGCAGCUGUGAACAUGGUCCAGACAGGUAUUACAUGACAUGGACUGGAUCUCCUGUCACAUCAGUACCCAGGGGUGGAUUUUGAAAAAUGUAGAGAGUUGUCAAAAGCUCCAGAUAUAUAUAACACACACACACAAAGACUGA